AGCGAACGUUUGCGGCGGGCUUAACACAUGCAAGUCGAACGAGAAUCCCUUCGGGGAGGAAAGUGGCGCACGGGUGCGUAACACGUGGAUAACCAACCCAUUGGUUUGGGACAACACCGGGAAACUGGUGCUAAUACCAGAUGUGUCGCAGCUGUCUUCAGGCGGUUGCGAGAAAGGCCCGCAAGGGUCGCCAACGGACGGGUCCGCGUCCCAUCAGCUAGUUGGUGAGGUAAUGGCUCACCAAGGCAAAGACGGGUAGCUGGUCUGAGAGGAUGAUCAGCCACACUGGAACUGAGACACGGUCCAGACUCCUACGGGAGGGCAGCAGUGGGGAAUAUUGCGCAAUGGGCGAAAGACCUGACGCAGCCACGCCG
RNAcentral lists this ribosomal RNA (374 nucleotides) under uncultured bacterium. RNAcentral describes it as "bacterial SSU rRNA". It matches the Rfam family "Bacterial small subunit ribosomal RNA", at positions 29 to 399 of the family's 1533-position model. The record is from RNAcentral.